Molecule: ribosomal RNA, 697 nt
Filed under: Lodderomyces parapsilosis
Lineage: Eukaryota; Fungi; Ascomycota; Pichiomycetes; Serinales; Debaryomycetaceae
Description: LSU rRNA
Rfam family: Eukaryotic large subunit ribosomal RNA
Source: RNAcentral
AGAACGUCACAGAGGGUGAGAAUCCCGUGCGAUGAGAUGACCCAGACCUAUGUAAAGUUCCUUCGAAGAGUCGAGUUGUUUGGGAAUGCAGCUCUAAGUGGGUGGUAAAUUCCAUCUAAAGCUAAAUAUUGGCGAGAGACCGAUAGCGAACAAGUACAGUGAUGGAAAGAUGAAAAGAACUUUGAAAAGAGAGUGAAAAAGUACGUGAAAUUGUUGAAAGGGAAGGGCUUGAGAUCAGACUUGGUAUUUUGUAUGUUACUCUCUCGGGGGUGGCCUCUACAGUUUACCGGGCCAGCAUCAGUUUGGGCGGUAGGACAAUUGCAAAGAAAUGUGGCACUGCCUCGGUAGUGUGUUAUAGUCUUUGUCGAUACUGCCAGCCUAGACUGAGGACUGCGGCUUCGGCCUAGGAUGUUGGCAUAAUGAUCUUAAGUCGCCCGUCUUGAAACACGGACCAAGGAGUCUAACGUCUAUGCGAGUGUUUGGGUGUAAAACCCGUACGCGUAAUGAAAGUGAACGUAGGUAGGACCUCCUUUAGGAGUGCACUAUCGACCGAUCCUGAUGUCUUCGGAUGGAUUUGAGUAAGAGCAUAGCUGUUGGGACCCGAAAGAUGGUGAACUAUGCCUGAAUAGGGUGAAGCCAGAGGAAACUCUGGUGGAGGCUCGUAGCGGUUCUGACGUGCAAAUCGAUCGUCGAAUUU